Molecule: ribosomal RNA, 585 nt
Filed under: uncultured bacterium
Lineage: Bacteria
Description: partial 16S ribosomal RNA
Rfam family: Bacterial small subunit ribosomal RNA
Source: RNAcentral
UGGGGAAUUUUGGACAAUGGGCGAAAGCCUGAUCCAGCAAUGCCGCGUGUGUGAAGAAGGCCUUCGGGUUGUAAAGCACUUUUGUCCGGAAAGAAAUCCUUGGCUCUAAUACAGUCGGGGGAUGACGGUACCGGAAGAAUAAGCACCGGCUAACUACGUGCCAGCAGCCGCGGUAAUACGUAGGGUGCAAGCGUUAAUCGGAAUUACUGGGCGUAAAGCGUGCGCAGGCGGUUUGCUAAGACCGAUGUGAAAUCCCCGGGCUCAACCUGGGAACUGCAUUGGUGACUGGCAGGCUAGAGUGUGGCAGAGGGGGGUAGAAUUCCACGUGUAGCAGUGAAAUGCGUAGAGAUGUGGAGGAAUACCGAUGGCGAAGGCAGCCCCCUGGGCCAAUACUGACGCUCAUGCACGAAAGCGUGGGGAGCAAACAGGAUUAGAUACCCUGGUAGUCCACGCCCUAAACGAUGUCAACUAGUUGUUGGGGAUUCAUUUCCUUAGUAACGUAGCUAACGCGUGAAGUUGACCGCCUGGGGAGUACGGUCGCAAGAUUAAAACUCAAAGGAAUUGACGGGGUCAUAGCUGUUUCCU